AUCAUAAUAAUCUCCUCUAUGAUGUAACUCAUAUUUGAUUUUAAGAAACCUCGAUGAUUCUGAAUUUAAAAAAAUCAACACAUUUUGGAUGAGGGGUGGAUCAAACGGUUUUCAUGUUUCCAUUUAGUAUCAAACUCUAUAAAUACGGAUGUAUUUCAAGUGCUAUGUUCUUAAAAUUUUGCAUAGAGCGCUUAUCAUUGUCUUUAUUGCAAACAUCAUACGGCAUAAGCAUGAAACUUGGGCUAUUUCAGGUUCACUUGCUGAAGUCGUUUUUGUGAGACUAGUAGAGAGGUUGAGAUUUAAAACGUGUACGGGUACGCGUACGUGUGUUAAAACUACAUGUACACGUACACGUUUUUGUAAUUUAUCAGUUGAGAUUUCUUAACUUGUAGGAUAUAAAUGUGUACGUAAAUCGACGCAGUUUUGUGACAUGAAUUUAUUUAGUUAAUUCCAAAUAAAUGUUAAAUUUCUUAUCAAUUUUCAUGCAAAUGAAGUUUAAAAAUCUAUAUAUUGUAUCACAAGAAUACAUUUACUCAUCAAUAAGAUUUUAUUUGUUGUAUAAAGCUACACGUUUGUACUUACGUGUAGACGACACUCUACAAGUUUAGAGAACGUGUAGAAACCAUGUCGUCACAAAAACUGAUGACGUAAUACGCAAAGAAUUUAGGUGAUUCCCCUAGUUCACGUGCAAGUACUCGUACACGUUUGAAAUCUCAACCUCUCCAAUGCCAACAUAACCCGAAGAAUGCUGACAUCCCUUACUGUCUGACGUCAAGCCAAAAUGCACUCUCACACAAAAAUUCUCACCUUUCUGUUACGUGAAAAUUUUCACACGAAUGUUAGAAAUGUUCAUGUUAAUGAUAAUGACUUUAUUUUGAAAAAAAAAUAUUUUUCGAGUUUUUAAAAAUUUCCAUCUUCGACUUACGCCAUAUUCCUGUAAGUGCUCUUGACGUGAUAGUUUUACAAAACAUGUACAGGUUAAUCUUCCUUAAUUACGGUCACCUUAAAAAUGGAUUAAAAUUGCAGUCAAAAACGUCCUCUUCAGUUUUUGUUCAGUUUAAACCAAAACUACGGAGGAGGUUUUUGGCUUCUUUUGUAUAACCGGAUAUGUUCCCGAACAUCUGGGAUUAUUCUCUUUUAGCUAUAAUUCCCUGCAUAAUUACUUUCAGUAUUGUUCUAAAGUUAGAAUCUUCAGAAGUCUGAAUUGUCAUUUCAAAUAUUCAACAUUAAAACAUUAAAAGCAAUUCUUGUUUAAGAUAUGAAUUCAAUUAACAAUACUGGUGUUAUUACUAUCAAAUUAAGAGGAACUAGAAGAACUGGACAUUGUGUAACCUGAGUUUGUUUGUUUGUUGUUUUUUUUUGUGUUUAUUGUGUGUGUGGGUUGUUUUUUUUGUUUAACACUUAGCACGGAUGUUUCUUUAAGAAUUCUUGAGAUGCUGACGUCAUUAUUUACGAAAUAGGUCGACCACUCCUAAGUGUCAACUUCACAUUCUAUAACUCAGAUGCACACCAAACGUAAGUGAUCCGUGUAUUGUAAUUCUUUCGCAAAGUAACAUUAAAGUGUUGACCACACAGUUGUUAUAACAGAUGGGGAUGUCUACAUAUGUCAUGGUUACUGUUAGUGUGGCCUUUAUGUUGUGUGUAACUAUUUCAGUGUGUUACGAACAGAAAGAUGAAAUUACCGUUUGGGAUGAAGUCUUACCCAUAAAAGAAGAAGUUUUGUUUGACAAAGACUCUGGAAUACCUUCAAAAACUCAAAGCAUUCCUCUUUCUAGUCUAUUGGCGGAUGUGUUUUGCCGGAUGUGCGACUUCUUUCCAAAUAACGAUCAGAAAAUGAUUUGUAAACGUCAACGGUGUAUUUACGUCGGCAAUGCGAAGAGGUGACUUCCGGAGAACUCUUCUUACUUCUAAACAAUGCUACUUUAAAUUCCUGUGAUUUGUGUAAAGUAUCAUGUGGAUAUUGUAUUGGCAAAAGCCAUCUCAUUCAUGCGGAACAUAAUAUAUUAGAAUAUUUUUAAAUUAACAGAGUAUACAUUUAAGUCCACUAAAUGAGAAAUAAAGUCUAUACAGUACA
Magallana angulata is the source of this 2074-nucleotide long non-coding RNA. RefSeq lists it as uncharacterized. The transcript has 2 exons. The record is from RefSeq and is a predicted model, not a curated record. Lineage: Eukaryota; Metazoa; Mollusca; Bivalvia; Ostreida; Ostreidae.